UACGUAGGUGGCAAGCGUUGUCCGGAAUUAUUGGGCGUAAAGCGCGCGCAGGCGGUCCUUUAAGUCUGAUGUGAAAGCCCACGGCUCAACCGUGGAGGGUCAUUGGAAACUGGGGGACUUGAGUACAGGAGAGAAGAGUGGAAUUCCACGUGUAGCGGUGAAAUGCGUAGAGAUGUGGAGGAACACCAGUGGCGAAGGCGGGUCUCUGGACAGUUCCUGACACUGAGACACGAAGGCCAGGGGAGCAAACGGG
Molecule: ribosomal RNA, 253 nt
Filed under: uncultured bacterium
Lineage: Bacteria
Description: partial 16S ribosomal RNA
Rfam family: Bacterial small subunit ribosomal RNA
Source: RNAcentral